This 234-nucleotide ribosomal RNA is filed under the name uncultured bacterium. RNAcentral describes it as "partial 16S ribosomal RNA". It matches the Rfam family "Bacterial small subunit ribosomal RNA", at positions 102 to 334 of the family's 1533-position model. The record is from RNAcentral.
CACGGGUGAGUAACACGUAUCCAACCUGCCGUCUACUCUUGGCCAGCCUUCUGAAGGAAGAUUAAUCCAGGAUGGCAUCAUGAGUUCACAUGUCCGCAUGAUUAAAGGUAUUUUCCGGUAGACGAUGGGGAUGCGUUCCAUUAGAUAGUAGGCGGGGUAACGGCCCACCUAGUCAACGAUGGAUAGGGGUUCUGAGAGGAAGGUCCCCCACAUUGGAACUGAGACACGGUCCAA